This 277-nucleotide long non-coding RNA is filed under the name Setaria viridis. RNAcentral describes it as "long non-coding RNA (SVIR_LNC001034)". The record is from RNAcentral. Lineage: Eukaryota; Viridiplantae; Streptophyta; Magnoliopsida; Poales; Poaceae.
AAUCUGGAAGCUGAGCUGACCGCCUCUACCAAUCGGAGGGCCGAGCAGGUACUGAAGUCCAAGCGCGCUCCUGUGGCCAAUGACAUUACCACUCUUGGGCAACAUUAGUUUAAGGUUGUCGAGCAACUCCAAAAGCAACCCUAAACUAUCCCUAAUAAUUUAAUUUGGGAGAAAAGGAAAAAAAUUUGCGCUCCAAUAGCUCCCCCAAACCAUCCGCAUAUUUUCACCCACCUCAAUCGUGAUCCCGUCACCCCGCUUAUUUGCGUGUGGUCUCUCC